UACGUAGGGGGCAAGCGUUAUCCGGAUUUACUGGGUGUAAAGGGAGCGUAGGUGGCAUGGCAAGCCAGAAGUGAAAACCCGGGGCUUAACCCCGCGGAUUGCUUUUGGAACUGCCAGGCUGGAGUGCAGGAGGGGCAGGCGGAAUUCCUGGUGUAGCGGUGAAAUGCGUAGAUAUCAGGAGGAACACCGGUGGCGAAGGCGGCCUGCUGGACUGUAACUGACACUGAGGCUCGAAAGCGUGGGGAGCAAACAGG
Molecule: ribosomal RNA, 254 nt
Filed under: uncultured bacterium
Lineage: Bacteria
Description: partial 16S ribosomal RNA
Rfam family: Bacterial small subunit ribosomal RNA
Source: RNAcentral